UCAGACGAUGCGUCAUGCAUAUCAAUAAGCGGAGGAAAAGAAACUAACAAGGAUUCCCCUAGUAACGGCGAGUGAAGCGGGAAGAGCUCAAAUUUGAAAUCUUAAAGGGUUUCCCUUUACGAAUUGUAGUUUAAAGAAGUGUUUUCUGUUGAGGUUUUGGUAAAAGUUCUUUGGAAUAGGACAUCAUAGAGGGUGAGAAUCCCGUAUUUGACCUUUACUUUCAACUUUGUGAUACACUUUCAAAGAGUCGGAUUGUUUGGGAAUGCAGUCCAGAAUGGGUGGUAAAUUUCAUCUAAAGCUAAAUAUUGGCGAGAGACCGAUAGCGAACAAGUACCGUGAGGGAAAGAUGAAAAGAACUUUGAAAAGAGAGUUAAACAGUACGUGAAAUUGUCAAAAGGGAAGCGUUUGACACCAGUGUUGUUUUUCUGAAAAUCAAUUAAAGAACUGUUUAUGCUAAGUUGUUUAGACUUUAUCAGCUAACUGUUUAGUUUUGAGCUUUUCUUUAAUGCACUUUUCAGUUAACAAGUCAACAUCAAUUUCUUUUGCUGUAAAAAAGCUUGAGGAAGGUGGCUUGAGAUUCGUCUUAAGUGUUUAUAGCCUCUUGCCUAUGCAGUCGGAGAGAUUGAGGUCUGCAGCGUAGAUCCUUCGGGGCUAAAUGCAUUUGUGCUAAGUUAUAGCAUUUUAUAGACAACUUGUUGACUAUGAUUUGUCUUGUAGCUUACUCGCUUAUGUUAUUUUACCUACGCUUAGGAUGUUGAGCGCAUGUCUCUCUCU
This 774-nucleotide ribosomal RNA is filed under the name uncultured Neocallimastigales. Its description in RNAcentral is "partial large subunit ribosomal RNA". It matches the Rfam family "Eukaryotic large subunit ribosomal RNA", at positions 18 to 616 of the family's 3401-position model. Lineage: Eukaryota; Fungi; Neocallimastigomycota; Neocallimastigomycetes; Neocallimastigales. The record is from RNAcentral.